Molecule: long non-coding RNA, 1006 nt
Organism: Athalia rosae (coleseed sawfly)
Lineage: Eukaryota; Metazoa; Arthropoda; Insecta; Hymenoptera; Athaliidae
Exons: 3
Source: RefSeq, a predicted model, not a curated record
CGAAGAAGGGUCAAAACUUUUGCGUUUUUCUAGGGGUUAGUUCACCAAAAAUCCGCCACAUGGCGCUAGCUGUACCCCCGGUGGGCGGAGCUUAAAGAAAAUGGCGGUGCCCAGAGAAAUGGGCGGAAAAUUUUAAUAAUUAAUUAAAAAAUUGGAAAAAAUCAAGGAAAAUUAGAAAAAAUCAGGAGAAAAUAAAAAAAAUGAGAAAAAAUGAGAAAAAAAUUAAAAAUAAAUCUGUGAUGCUGUAAAUUGAAAAAAAAUUGUGAAAAUUCGAAGAGAAUCUGUAUACUAUGAGUUUGAGGUUAUAUUGAUACACCUAAAUAAUACUGGGCGCUCGCAGGAGUUGUUGGAGAUCUAGUAAGCAUCAAAAAUCAAUAAAGAAAUUGAAUAAUAUUCAGGAUGCACAGGAGAAAAAAUAAAGAGGAUGACAAGGCAGUGAUUCUUUGUAUUUUGAUCUUGGAAGCGGAAUCUGAUCAAAGAAUCCGAUGACGACUGAGAACUAAUUUGAGGUGUCAGCACGUGUCUACCAAGAGAGGAAUUACCACAAAGCACAGCGAACAUGGGGUGAAUCAACUAUGCCAUUCAAAUUUGAUACAAACUGACUUUGUCACUCAUUAGAAGAACUAGAUCUCUGAGCCCCUCUGAAGAUAAUUUAAAUAACAAUACGCUGGGAUGAUGGAGUUAGUCUUUGGCGUGUCCGGUUCUGCUGAUUCUGUUGAUGUAUUCAUUCUUCAAGGAAGUAAUUGUCGAAGGUGGGAAAUUGGCAGCUCCAGAGAAUCUCUUCCCUGCAUUGAGGAAUCAAGACUCAUCGGUGCAUCUGCAUGAUUGUUCAUUAGUGCACCGAAUAAAAAUCCAUAUAUUAUUUAUAAUGUAGAUAUAGAUCAUGUACAUACUUUCUAAAUUAAUUCAAAUUGUCAUCAGAUAAGAAACCUCUAUGAAUUUUCAUUGUAACACAUUUGCUGUGAAAGAAUAAUUUUCUAACCGAAUAAAUCCAUAUUAUUCCUAA